UACAGAGGGUGCAAGCGUUAAUCGGAAUUACUGGGCGUAAAGCGCGCGUAGGUGGUUCGUUAAGUUGGAUGUGAAAUCCCCGGGCUCAACCUGGGAACUGCAUUCAAAACUGACGAGCUAGAGUAUGGUAGAGGGUGGUGGAAUUUCCUGUGUAGCGGUGAAAUGCGUAGAUAUAGGAAGGAACACCAGUGGCGAAGGCGACCACCUGGACUGAUACUGACACUGAGAGACGAAAGCUAGGGGAGCGAAUGGG
This 253-nucleotide ribosomal RNA is filed under the name uncultured bacterium. RNAcentral describes it as "partial 16S ribosomal RNA". It matches the Rfam family "Bacterial small subunit ribosomal RNA", at positions 524 to 776 of the family's 1533-position model. The record is from RNAcentral.